GACAGACAGCAGUGUUUGGCAUGGAGGGGUGAUGGGUGACGGGUUGGCGCGGAGGGGAGUGGGGUGAAAGAAGGAUUGGCGUGGGUGUUUGGGAGCGGACUUGAUGGGGGGAGAGAAUGGCACAGCACAGGAGACAGCAGACAAGAAGCGGGGAGCGCGGAUGACACGGAAUGGGGAUGGUGGGCAGUGUGGGUGACGCAGAGCACGGAUGGUGGGCAUAGAGUUGAUAGAGAGUGGGGAUGAUGGGGAGUGAGGAUGGCAGGGAGCGAGGGUGGUGGAGUGGGUGGUGGGCACGGAGUGGGGGUGGUCGGCAAGGAGCAAGGGCGGUGAGUGCAGAGCAGGGAUAGCAGCAAGGAGCGGGGGAUGAUAGGGAAUACAGAUGGCAGCUGCAGCACAGGGAUGAGAGGGAGCUUGGAUGUGGGCAUGGUGCAGGGAUGAUGGGCAGCACAGAUGGUAGGCAGCUGUGGUGGCAGGCACAGCACAGGGACCAUGAGGAUUGCGGAUAAGGGGCAGCAGAGGUAGUGAGCAUGGAUGGUAGGUGCAUAGUGGCAAUGGCUGAUGGGCAGCAAGUGUGACAGGCAGGGAGCUGGGAUGGUGCACGCGGGUGGUGGGAAGCAAGCAAUCCCAGUGGGGAUUUGUCUGCUAGGAAGGAGAUGAUGACGUUAGCAGCCCUGACCAGUCUCUGCUGGCAGUGGCUAGAGGUGGGUCAGACUACAGCAGCCCAGGAACAGGAACGGGCAGCAGGCCUGGAAUUUUGUUUUGGAAGAGUGAGCUUUCUCAUUGUAGAUGUGGCUGGUUUAUGCUCAGCUUCUUUGGGUGGGAUUUUGCAAAACGGCCAGCACUGCGUAGUCUUCAGUGCACUGUAGAAUAAUAGAAUGCUUUGGGUUGGAAGGGAACGUGAGGUCAUCUAGUCCAGCUCCUCUGUGGUGAGCAGGAACAUCUUCAACUUGAUCAGGUUGCUCAGAGCCCUGUCCAACUUGACCAUAUCCCUGGAUAGCAGGACUACCUAUUUUAAAGAAAAACUUUUUCUGUUGUGUGGAAAAGACGAGUGGGGUGGUCAUAGACUGUCACCUGCACCUGGCUUUCUGAUGGGUUUCCGCAUGAUUCCUGGUGGCCAUAGCAGGUGGCUGGAACUUACGCAAUAGCUUGUAAUCUUAGAAGCGUGCUGAUAGAUGUGACAGAGGUUCGGUGGGUUUUUAGAGAGAAUAGACUUUGCUCUCUGUUCUUUGAAACUGGGCAAUUAUUUCAAAUGUAUUUUGCUAGGCUGUUGGUCUGUGUGUAUCGUAGUCACUCUCCCUAGUGAAAGUUCUCCCUCUUCCUUUAGAUGGAAGCAAUGGAAGUCUGUCAGUGGCCUAAUCAAGCCACUACAUGACCACAGGAUGUCCCAAGAGCAUGAUUUGCUUGGAUUUUCUUAUUAAAUACUUACCUGUUUAAAACAUAAUUUAUUUAUGAAUUUUUAAGCAUCUGCCUAUUGAUGAAUUUGGUGUUUUCAUACGCUGUUAAUUUAAUUUUGUGGAGAUGAUGAGUUCUAAUACUUGAACUCUCGCCUUUGUGUUGCCCAUUCAUUUCUGUCCAGAAUGAAUGUGGUGUCAAAAAAGGCAAACAGAAAAUCUUGCUCAGAACAGUUUAAGGAGAGGUUUUUUUACCUUUGUUCUCCCUGUUUUAGCAAGGACAAAAAAAAAAAAAAAAAUCAGUAGAAAGGGUAAGGUUGAAGCAGUUCCAUAGUAUUUUUGCUUCAGUCUUUUAAAAUUAAGACUGACCAUUAUUAAAUGAGGAAAAACAAAAUUUAUAAUUGCCAGUUUUAGCAUUGUUAGCUAUCCUGUCUAUCACAAUUUUUUAGGUCUGUGCUGCAAUUAAUUAGUACAUAGCAUUUUACACUCCUGUAGUGGAGUGUAGUUUUUCUAUUGCAGAAAGAUAUCUACUGGUUCAGAAUACUCAGCUACAGAAAAGAUGAAAAUCUUCUUUAAUGGAAAAAAAUGUUUUGCCCUUUUGCAUUUGACUUUUUGUUAUUUCUGUCUGGGCUUAGAAAGAUAUAAAAAGAAUCCCUCUGCAGGAUUAUUUGGUGUUGGAUAGUAAUGUAUUUUACUCUUUUGGUGUACAUGGAAUAACCUUUCCUCGAUGCACUUUUGGAAGUGUGAAGUAUACUUUAAUAUUGCUAGCUGCAGUGGCUCUUACUUUGGGGAUGGCAGGGUCCAUUCCUGCCAGAAUGUUUAUGCUAUGAACACUUCUUACAGAAUCCUAGUGUGUUUUACGGGCAGUUCAGAAGCUCACAGAUAUGGCCUUACAUGGUGAAAGCCUCUGAGCAUGAGAAAGGCUUGUAGGAAGGAGGUAUGAAGUACUGAUUGCUCAGCUGUCCUGCAACUUCCUCCUUGAGAAAUUGACAGUACAGUACAAACUACUACAGAAGAGAAAUCUAGAUUGUGUAAUUGUGUAGUGUGUGCAAAAGCAGCUUUCAAGAUAUGAUUGCAGCUCUGGGAACGCAUACUGAUUGUUUGGCAGCUGCUCACAAAGACAACACAACAUCUGGAGUUGUGUAAAGAAUAUAUACUAUUUCCUUAUGAGAAAUUACUCAGGAAGAAUUGCUGGUACCUGCCUGAGACCAGUGGCAGUCUAUGCAAGAGUACUUCAUAAGAAACAAAAGAACAGUCAGAAGGAUGGAAUAUUAAGCCUGAAUGUAGCAACAUAAGAUGCUUUUAACUCUGUUGGGGCAGCGUCUAGUAAUGUUUAUGUAGAUAACAAAUAAAUAUUUGUUUCUAUUCUCAGAAUUUCUGUCUUCCUCUAGCCGUAAUAAGCAGUUGCUUCCAUUUGACAGUUCUGACUUCCAUGUAGUUUUGCAAUAGCAAUUCUCACCCUUUGGACUAAAUAAAACGUAGGA
Long non-coding RNA from Cuculus canorus (common cuckoo), 2875 nucleotides. RefSeq lists it as uncharacterized. The record is from RefSeq and is a predicted model, not a curated record. The transcript is spliced from 3 exons. NCBI's taxonomy places the organism in Eukaryota, Metazoa, Chordata, Aves, Cuculiformes, Cuculidae.